GUGGGGAAUAUUGGACAAUGGGCGAAAGCCUGAUCCAGCCAUGCCGCGUGUGUGAAGAAGGUCUUCGGAUUGUAAAGCACUUUAAGUUGGGAGGAAGGGCAGUAAGUUAAUACCUUGCUGUUUUGACGUUACCGACAGAAUAAGCACCGGCUAACUUCGUGCCAGCAGCCGCGGUAAUACGAAGGGUGCAAGCGUUAAUCGGAAUUACUGGGCGUAAAGCGCGCGUAGGUGGUUUUGUAAGUUGGAGGUGAAAUCACCGGGCUCAACCUGGGAACUGCCUCCAAAACUGCAUGACUAGAGUACGGUAGAGGGUAGUGGAAGUUCCUGUGUAGCGGUGAAAUGCGUAGAUAUAGGAAGGAACACCAGUGGCGAAGGCGACUACCUGGACUGAUACUGACACUGAGGUGCGAAAGCGUGGGGAGCAAACAGGAUUAGAAACCCGAGUAGUCC
This 450-nucleotide ribosomal RNA is filed under the name uncultured bacterium. RNAcentral describes it as "partial 16S ribosomal RNA". It matches the Rfam family "Bacterial small subunit ribosomal RNA", at positions 354 to 796 of the family's 1533-position model. The record is from RNAcentral.